AUACGGAGGGUGCGAGCGUUAAUCGGAAUUACUGGGCGUAAAGCGCGCGUAGGCUGCUUUGUAAGUCGGAUGUGAAAGCCCUGGGCUCAACCUGGGAAUUGCACUCGAUACUGCAGAGCUAGAGUAUGGUAGAGGGAAGUGGAAUUUCCGGUGUAGCGGUGAAAUGCGUAGAUAUCGGAAGGAACACCAGUGGCGAAGGCGACUUCCUGGGCCAAUACUGACGCUGAGGUGCGAAAGCGUGGGGAGCAAACAGGAUUAGAAACCCCAGUAGUCC
RNAcentral lists this ribosomal RNA (274 nucleotides) under uncultured bacterium. Its description in RNAcentral is "partial 16S ribosomal RNA". It matches the Rfam family "Bacterial small subunit ribosomal RNA", at positions 523 to 796 of the family's 1533-position model. The record is from RNAcentral.